Molecule: ribosomal RNA, 939 nt
Filed under: uncultured bacterium
Lineage: Bacteria
Description: bacterial SSU rRNA
Rfam family: Bacterial small subunit ribosomal RNA
Source: RNAcentral
AGAGUUUGAUCCUGGCUCAGAUUGAACGCUGGCGGCAUGCCUUACACAUGCAAGUCGAACGGCAGCACGGGGGCAACCCUGGUGGCGAGUGGCGAACGGGUGAGUAAUACAUCGGAACGUGUCCUGGAGUGGGGGAUAGCCCGGCGAAAGCCGGAUUAAUACCGCAUACGCUCUGAGGAGGAAAGGGGGGGAUCUUCGGACCUCUCGCUCAAGGGGCGGCCGAUGGCAGAUUAGCUAGUUGGUGGGGUAAAGGCCUACCAAGGCGACGAUCUGUAGCUGGUCUGAGAGGACGACCAGCCACACUGGGACUGAGACACGGCCCAGACUCCUACGGGAGGCAGCAGAGGGGAAUUUUGGACAAUGGGCGCAAGCCUGAUCCAGCAAUGCCGCGUGUGUGAAGAAGGCCUUCGGGUUGUAAAGCACUUUUGUCCGGAAAGAAAACCUCAGCCCUAAUACGGCGGGGGGAUGACGGUACCGGAAGAAUAAGCACCGGCUAACUACGUGCCAGCAGCCGCGGUAAUACGUAGGGUGCGAGCGUUAAUCGGAAUUACUGGGCGUAAAGCGUGCGCAGGCGGUUCGUUAAGACAGAUGUGAAAUCCCCGGGCUUAACCUGGGAACUGCAUUUGUGACUGGCGGGCUAGAGUAUGGCAGAGGGGGGUAGAAUUCCACGUGUAGCAGUGAAAUGCGUAGAGAUGUGGAGGAAUACCGAUGGCGAAGGCAGCCCCCUGGGCCAAUACUGACGCUCAUGCACGAAAGCGUGGGGAGCAAACAGGAUUAGAUACCCUGGUAGUCCACGCCCUAAACGAUGUCAACUAGUUGUCGGGUCUUCAUUGACUUGGUAACGUAGCUAACGCGUGAAGUUGACCGCCUGGGGAGUACGGUCGCAAGAUUAAAACUCAAGGAAUUGACGGGACCCGCACAAGCGGUGGAUGAUGUGAU